GGAGCCUCCUGAUCGUUAUUUGGUAAGUUUUUCCAAACGAAAAUUCAAAUAAAAAGGUUGGAACCUAUGUGCAUGAUGAAGAAUGGAGAUUUACUGAAGGAAUUUAGUGCAUGGAAGUCUUUUAACUGCGUAAAAUAAAAACAUGUUCUUUAAAACCACCCAUUACUAGUUGUUAUCACCAAUCGUCAUUUCCAGGUGAGAAAACAGACAUCUUGCUGGAUCACAUGCCGGCUGUUUAGACUUUCGUGGGAGGUUUAACAAGGAAGAACAUUAAAAAGUCGGAAACUCAGGUUCUGUCGAACUUUGCGUUAGAUAGGAAAAACAAGUGAGGAACGAAAGAGCAGGUACCAAGCACAAGGACAACGCUGAUGAACGCAACAUUGCCAUGGUUGAGAGAGUAAACUUUCGAGUUGGUGCAUUUACACAAAGAAUUCGAAAAUCUUUGCAAUGUUUGGCAACCUGGGAUGGAUAUAGGCUGUGCCGAGUCGUGACUUCCAAGAAAUACAUUUGAUCGGCAAUUGCCUCUCUGUGCUCAUGAAUGGAAAAUGCAGAACGUUUCCGUGACCACACGUCAGCCACUGUCAGACGGAGCAGGAACUUGUGACAGAGCACAAGUGAAAAUAUGAUUUUCACUGGAGGUUGUUCAGCUUGCAUCAUUAGAGCCCAGGGGUUGUAUUUAACUAUUCCGCUCAGCCAAAUAAUAUGGAGUAUUGGAGAAAGACCGCGCCCUUCAAAAACAGUCGUUCUCUUCUUUUUGGAUACCGGAUUUACACGAUACUUCGUAAUUUUAAGAGAAGUUAUAAGAGUUUUUUUCCAGAAGAAAAGUCUCUUCUUUUAAAUUGUACUGAUAAAACAGGGAAGCCAUCCUCCAAUUAAGAGGCGGUAUUUAUAAUUUCAUUUGUUUUUUGAUAUUGUGGACGAUUUUAACUUUUGACCUUCUUUUCGCUCUCUAUUUUCAACUGCGGGUACCGUUCUGCCAUGCUAAGGAAGAACGCCGUAUGAGCCUUAAGGCGUU
Molecule: long non-coding RNA, 1015 nt
Filed under: Bemisia tabaci
Lineage: Eukaryota; Metazoa; Arthropoda; Insecta; Hemiptera; Aleyrodidae
Description: lncRNA ENSSSA3NGG014878
Source: RNAcentral